RNAcentral lists this ribosomal RNA (289 nucleotides) under uncultured bacterium. Its description in RNAcentral is "partial 16S ribosomal RNA". It matches the Rfam family "Bacterial small subunit ribosomal RNA", at positions 775 to 1067 of the family's 1533-position model. The record is from RNAcentral.
GGAUUAGAUACCCUGGUAGUCCACGCCGUAAACGAUGAUCACUCGCUGUUUGCGAUACACAGUAAGCGGCUGAGCGAAAGCAUUAAGUGAUCCACCUGGGGAGUACGAUCGCAAGGUUGAAACUCAAAGGAAUUGACGGGGGCCCGCACAAGCGGAGGAACAUGUGGUUUAAUUCGAUGAUACGCGAGGAACCUUACCUGGGCUUAAAUGUAGAAUGCAUGAUUUGGAAACAGAUCUUUUCUUCGGAACUUUUUACAAGGUGCUGCAUGGUUGUCGUCAGCUCGUGUUG